UGGUCAGUGAAUGAAAUGGUAGGGGAGCGUCGUAUACGGGGUGAAGUAUGAGCGAAAGCGCAUGUGGACUGUAUACGAGUGAGAAUGCCGGAAUGAGUAGCGAGAAAUAUGUGAGAAUCAUAUUGGCCGAAAGUCUAAGGUUUCCGGAGGAAGGUUCGUCCGCUCCGGGUAAGCCGGGAGCUAAGGUGAGGCCGAAAGGCGUAGCCGAUGCACAUACGGUAGAGAUUCCGUAGCUGCCGGAGGAUUUAAGCAGAGGGACACUGUCAAAGGGUAUGACCCGGGCGUUGGUAGCCCCGGGCGAAAGGGACUGAAAUAUAGUAGGGAAGCAUACUUGGCGGCAGGCGAGAAAAGCUCUGUGGAUAUCUGAGGCACCCGUACCGCAAACCGACACAGGUAGACAGGAAGAGAAUUCUAAGGCCAACGGGAGAAGGGUUGUUAAGGAACUCGGCAAGUUGACCCCGUAACUUAGGGAAAAGGGGUGCUCCUGAAAGGGAGCCGCAGAGAAUAGGUCCAGGCGACUGUUUAGCAAAAACACAGCUCUAUGCUAAAUCGAAAGAUGACGUAUAUGGGGUGACACCUGCCCGGUGCCGGAAGGUUAAGAGGAGGAGUGAGAGCUCUGAAUUGAAGCCCCGGUAAACGGCGGCCGUAACUAUAACGGUCCUAAGGUAGCGAAAUUCCUUGUCAGGUAAGUUCUGACCCGCACGAAUGGUGUAACGAUCUGGACACUGUCUCAACAGCCCGCCCGGCGAAAUUGUAGUACCGGUGAAGAUGCCGGUUACCCGCGACAAGACGGAAAGACCCCAUGGAGCUUUACUGCAGCUUAAUAUUGGAUUUCGGUAUUUCAUGUACAGGAUAGGUGGGAGGCAGAGAAGGCAGCACGCCAGUGUUGCUGGAGCCGCCGUUGGGAUACCACUCUUGAGGUGCUGAAAUUCUAACCUGCGGCCGUGAAUCCGGUCGGGGGACAGUGUUAGGCGGGCAGUUUGACUGGGGCGGUCGCCUCCAAAAAGGUAACGGAGGCGCUCAAAGGUUGGCUCAGCAUGGACGGAAACCAUGCCAGAGAGUGUAAACGCACAAGCCAGCCUAACUGCGAGAGCGACAGUUCGAGCAGUAACGAAAGUUGGAGUUAGUGAUCCGGUGGUAUGUGAGUGGAAAUGCCAUCGCUCAACGGAUAAAAGCUACCCUGGGGAUAACAGGCUGAUCUCCCCCAAGAGUCCACAUCGUCGGGGAGGUUUGGCACCUCGAUGUCGGCUCAUCGCAUCCUGGGGCUGAAUUCGGUCCCAAGGGUUUGGCUGUUCGCCAAUUAAAGCGGUACGCGAGCUGGGUUCAGAACGUCGUGAGACAGUUCGGUCCCUAUCUGUCGUGGGCGCAGGAUAUUUGAGAGGAGCUGUCCCUAGUACGAGAGGACCGGGAUGGACGUACCUCUGGUGCACCAGUUGUCGUGCCAACGGCACAGCUGGGCAGCUAAGUACGGAUCGGAUAAACGCUGAAGGCAUCUAAGCGUGAAGCCGACCUCAAGAUAAGAUAUGCCACUGAGUAAUCAGGUAAGACCCCUUGA
RNAcentral lists this ribosomal RNA (1555 nucleotides) under Anaerotruncus colihominis. Its description in RNAcentral is "bacterial LSU rRNA". It matches the Rfam family "Bacterial large subunit ribosomal RNA", at positions 1210 to 2841 of the family's 2925-position model. Lineage: Bacteria; Bacillati; Bacillota; Clostridia; Eubacteriales; Oscillospiraceae. The record is from RNAcentral.